Molecule: long non-coding RNA, 154 nt
Organism: Etheostoma spectabile (orangethroat darter)
Lineage: Eukaryota; Metazoa; Chordata; Actinopteri; Perciformes; Percidae
Exons: 3
Source: RefSeq, a predicted model, not a curated record
UGAAAGUCAAAAAAAGUAUGUGUUCCAUUUCACUCCCCUGCUCCUGCACCGCUCACUUUCCCUCUGCUCUCUAAGUGGCCUCUGUGAGACGUGUGCUAUGACAUCAUACCAAGGGCUGGGGAGAAGUGAAGCAGGGCAGGUUGAAAAACUAAUG